AUGAUGAUCAUUAUGAAUGAUGCUUAUGAUGUCACUGUCAAUGAUGCUUAUGAAGAAGAAUUUGUUAUAGUUUCAUAUGUUAAUGAAAUUGUUGAUAUUGCACCAUGCAUGGUAGUUUUAUUUUAUUUAUUUUUUGAAUUCUCCCAACUCGCACGUCCAUACGACCGGCCGAAUUCUAGUACAACUCCUCUUUCCACACUACACUUGGUUGCUCUCCUUUCAAGGCUUUAUAUGGCCACUAUCCCAACUUCAGCUCCAUGCCCUGUUUGGCUGCUUCAAUUUAUGCUACUCUGCGGGAGCUGCUACUCAAACGUGCCAUGCAGACUACCAACAGCUGCUCAAAACUAUAUGAAGCUGCAAGCUUAUCGUAAUCGCACUGACAAAUAA
This 387-nucleotide ribosomal RNA is filed under the name Triticum aestivum (bread wheat). RNAcentral's name for it is "partial small subunit ribosomal RNA". The record is from RNAcentral. Lineage: Eukaryota; Viridiplantae; Streptophyta; Magnoliopsida; Poales; Poaceae.